This 439-nucleotide ribosomal RNA is filed under the name uncultured bacterium. RNAcentral describes it as "partial 16S ribosomal RNA". It matches the Rfam family "Bacterial small subunit ribosomal RNA", at positions 339 to 795 of the family's 1533-position model. The record is from RNAcentral.
CUACGGGGCGCUGCAGUGGGGAAUAUUGCACAAUGGAGGAAACUCUGAUGCAGCAACGCCGCGUGGAGGAUGACACUUUUCGGAGCGUAAACUCCUUUUAUAUAGGAAGAAGAUGACGGUAUUAUAUGAAUAAGCGCCGGCUAACUCCGUGCCAGCAGCCGCGGUAAUACGGAGGGCGCAAGCGUUACUCGGAAUCACUGGGCGUAAAGAGCGUGUAGGCGGAUUAAAAAGUCAGAAGUGAAAUCCUAUAGCUUAACUAUAGAACUGCUUCUGAAACUCUUAAUCUAGAAUAUGGGAGAGGUAGAUGGAAUUUCUGGUGUAGGGGUAAAAUCCGUAGAGAUCAGAAGGAAUACCGAUUGCGAAGGCGAUCUACUAGAACAUUAUUGACGCUGAGACGCGAAAGCGUGGGGAGCAAACAGGAUUAGAUACCCGGGUAGUC